GGUUGCGGGUCUCGCAACC
This 19-nucleotide unclassified non-coding RNA is filed under the name synthetic construct. The record is from RNAcentral.